RNAcentral lists this transfer RNA (75 nucleotides) under Desulfarculus baarsii DSM 2075. It matches the Rfam family "tRNA". From Rfam's summary of the family: Transfer RNA (tRNA) molecules are approximately 80 nucleotides in length. The record is from Rfam by way of RNAcentral. Lineage: Bacteria; Pseudomonadati; Thermodesulfobacteriota; Desulfarculia; Desulfarculales; Desulfarculaceae.
GCGGGAGUAGCUCAGUUCGGCUAGAGCGUCAGCCUUCCAAGCUGAGGGUCGCGGGUUCGAAUCCCGUCUCCCGCU